GUGAUUUGUUGGUACAUUUUCCAUUUGAAAUAGAUGGACCUGGCUAUGGUGUUUUUGUUUUGUAGUAGGGUAGUGUAGGGGGUAGUGAUGGAAAGAGAUAUGAGGGUUAUGCUAUAAGAUAUUUAGGAGCAAUGCUGAGCCUCAGUUUGUAGAUGUCUAUCUGACAAUAGCUCCAGGCUUGGGUAAAUAUUUUGUAAGCAUGUUCCCUUGGGACAUUUGUUCCUCACCCAGAUGGCCUUUUCAUUUCAUAUUUCCUACAGCAGACUACUACUGCUUCAUUCCAUUUCAAAUCACAGAUUUCAACAGAGACGCAGAAUGCAGCGGGCUUUGAAUCUUGCUCAGACCUGACCCCAAAGUCUUCAUGCAAUUAUAGCUGUAUUCCAUUGAUUUGAUGAUGUCGUUCUCUUUCAUCUUCAGUAACACUUUUUAAAGAACCUGUCGUACAGAAAGCAGUGCCUGUCACAGGCAGCAGCAACAGGAACCUCGAGUUUUACCCUCUGAUACUGCUCUAAACAAAAACAACUCCUUUCCAUCUCUUGGUGUUUACAACUUUCAGUCCAGGUCAUUUGGGAAGAAGAUGUAUAAAGAAUGCUGACAAAUGAUAUGCAGCUGAAGGAGCUGGGUAAAGGGCAAUAAAAGGGCACUGAUGAAAGCCACUAUCCAGGGACUGGUAUAAACUAGAAUGGACUGGCUGAGAGUCUGAUAGCUUAUUUCACAAGACUUUUGUUCUGGCUGAGAUUUUAUUGCCUUGAGUAAUCAAGCAACACCUUCCAGCUAAAAAUAUUGGUAGGCUGAGUGCAAUGGAUGCGGGAGAAGGGAAAAUAUUCCUCAGCUUUGAAAAGAAUGUAGUAUAUGCUCACAGCUGCACCCUGAAGAACUCAGGGCUACACGGGUGCCUUUUUCUGAGGAGGGAGAAGACUGUGAAGUAAACAUGAGCAACUGCGGCAAAAAUUCACAAGAGGACAUGCUUAUAACGAGGGAAAACCCUAAGUGCAGCCAUUAUUAAUAAUUUUAAAUAUUGUAUUACUAUUAUUUGAAUAAUUUGAGUGUUUACAAUUUACAUUUUUUAUUUUUUCCAACGGUCGUAUGGAAAUGGGCAGCACAUAAAAUUCUCCUGUAAAGUACCUAAGAAAGCUCUGCUCUAAGCAUUAUGUGGCUCUAAAUGCAAAUUAGCCCAUCAAGAAUGUUUCAAAACUUUUAUAAUUUUAAAACACUUUUUGGUAAGCCAUAUUCUCACCUGCCCUGGAAAGGUUCUCAAGGGCUUCUUUGUGAUCUAUGUAACUAACUGUUAGGAUGAAGUCUUGAUUCAGAUAUGGGAAAUGACCUAGGUAUGUGCGCACACCGCCUUUUGAAGGGUUAGCCACUAGUUUAAAAAGACUAGAGUUCUCUGUCUGAAAGAAAAAUUCAACCUUUAAGCAUGUAGAGACACUCUGUAUGAUAGAUGGUGAUGAAACAGAAUAUCUUAAUGUCUUUAUUUUUGUCUGUAAUUCUAGAUAGGGCCUCUCCUUAAGUAACCUUCAGUAACAGUUCAAAUUAGGUAAACUGCUCAUGUUAGGAGAGCCAAGAUUAGAACUCAGUAUUUCUGUUAGCAGCGUGUGUUCAGAGGCGAAGCUGCUGCACUUGGUUCAUCAGAGCCAGAUUUUGUUUUUCAGGAUAUGAUAGAACAGUGGCUCUCAACCUCUCCAUACUACUGUACCCCUUUCAGGAGUCUGAUUUCAGCUCUGGGCAGGGCUUGGACUUCGGCAUGAGCUCCAGGCAAUGGGGCUUGGGCUUCAGCAUGUACCUUAGCUUCAUGAGGGCCCCUGCUUGCCAUCCCCUAAUGCCAGCCCUACACUUGCAACCCCCUCCCCAAACCCUUCCCGUGACACAUACCCCCAGGAGUCACCACCCCUAGGUCGAGAAACACUGAUGUAGUGUAGAGAGCAGUAUAAACAAGUCAUUGUCUGUAUGAAAUUUUAGUUUGUACUGACUUCGCUAGUGCUUUUUGUGUAGCCUGUUGUAAAAUUAGGCAAAUAUCUAGAUGAGCUGACAUACCCCUGAAAGACUUCUGCGUACCCCCAGGAGUACAUGUACUCUUGGUUGAGAACUACUGCGGUAGAAGCUCAACUGAUCAGUUUAGUAUUUGUCAGAGGUGUGUGUAGAUGCGUUGGGAGUUGUGUCUAAAGGAGAGAUAGUUGCUGAUGCUAUUUGUAACUGCUGCUCUCUACUGUGGUUGUUGGAAAUUGAUUUGGAAUGAUUGUUGCUGCCAUUUAUUUGUAGGCAUUAAACCAAGUUAUGAAUCUUUGAUAGUUAAGUUUUUUAAGAUGUACGUGUGUCCAAAGGCUUGGGCAAUGGGCAUACAGUGUAUUAAUAUUGAUCUACAUAUGUAACUUACAUUUUUAGUUUAUUGAGUUCUUUUAAUUGAUUAUCAGUUAACCAGCCUGUUAAAUGCUCUGAGUAAAAUGUAACCAUUUAACAAUUUCUGUCUGCCUCUGCUUGAUUGCUCUAAAGGCAACUGCUUUCUAGUGAAAUUCAG
This is a long non-coding RNA of Caretta caretta (loggerhead turtle), 2515 nucleotides long. RefSeq lists it as uncharacterized. The record is from RefSeq and is a predicted model, not a curated record. Lineage: Eukaryota; Metazoa; Chordata; Testudines; Cheloniidae.